CCGACUUGAAAAUCGCUAAUUUUAUUGAAAUUGAUAUUUUUGUUUUAUUGGCAUGUCCAGAAAGUUCUUUUCUUGAUUCAAAAAACUUUUAUCGUCCCGUUAUUACUCCUUUCGAAAUGCAACUCGCGUGUGUGCGAAGUCUUGACUGGACGGGCGAGUUUACUACUGAUUUUCACAAAGUUUUGUUUAACCUCAAUGAAAAUAGUGAAAAUUACGAUAGCGAGGAAGAAGGAGACUUCAGCCUUAUUAAUGGCCGCUAUCGUGUUAAUAAAAAUGUUGCUGAAGUUUCUAGCAGAGAAAUUUGCGCGUUGAAUAAAGAAACGUUGGUCGUCACUGCAAAAGACUUUUUAAAUCACCGACGAGGUUACCGCGGAUUGGACAAAGCUUUACACGUGACAGAGGUGAGAAAAGCCGUCGCUGGUUCUACUGGCCUCCCGAGAGGUUAUAUUAGAA
Molecule: long non-coding RNA, 453 nt
Organism: Zophobas morio
Lineage: Eukaryota; Metazoa; Arthropoda; Insecta; Coleoptera; Tenebrionidae
Exons: 6
Source: RefSeq, a predicted model, not a curated record